CAGAAUGAUAUGUAACUCAGUGGGGCACAGGGAAAUGAGAAUGUACAUACAUGUCACCAAAGGAUUUUCGACCGAAGUGCCAAGGACUGGACAACUGAAUUUAAAGGCCAGCUGAAGCUCAAUAGUUUGAACUUCAUUUAAAUGAAGAUGGAAUGAAAGAAGAAAGAACUGUUAAAAUUAUGUAAGUUUUUUAUACAGCCAAGUAAAGGAUUCAGCUCUUGUUCCAAAAGAUCAAUGAAGAUGGUAUUCUUAAAUUUUCCUUGCUUCUAUGAAACUCCCUAAUUAUGUAAUUUUCUUUUAUUAUAUUGGUUUACUCUGAAUUUUAUUGUCAAACAUGACCUGAAAUUCAAUUUAUAGAAAUACUGACAAUAAACUGUAACUUAAAUUGGAACAUUUGUAUACUAAUAUGAUGCAGUGUUGUUUCACAGUUCUCUGCAUUGAAGACUAUUCUGAACUCUAAAUAUUUAAAUAAACUGCACUAAAAUACAAUGAGA
Long non-coding RNA from Dipodomys spectabilis (banner-tailed kangaroo rat), 494 nucleotides. RefSeq lists it as uncharacterized. The record is from RefSeq and is a predicted model, not a curated record. The transcript has 2 exons. NCBI's taxonomy places the organism in Eukaryota, Metazoa, Chordata, Mammalia, Rodentia, Heteromyidae.